AGGGCCCUACCACAGUCGUUGUUUCUAAUAUAGUAAUGUACUAAUAUCUCGUAUUCUCAUCCGUUAUUGUACGUUAUUGCAAGUGGUUCGAUAUAUCGCGACCUUCUCCGUCGACAUAGUGCGCCAUGAGUCGAAACGCAUCUUUAACUCGUGGUCCGGCAGUGGCGGUUCUAGCGUACGGACAGGGUGGGCAGCUGCCCGUACCAAAUUGGUUGAAGUUCACCUAGUAAAAAGUUAAAUAUGUAUGAAAGAAAUAAGCAGCCAAUUUGCUUGCCAGCAUUCAAGCAGAAUCAUAUUAUUACAGGUAACAUUCAAACUUAUAUAUUGAAAUCAGUGUUUGAUGAUGAAACAUGUCAAAACUUGAUAGGAUUAUCAAUCUUGAAAAACUCUUCUUUGUUUGUAUUAAAAACCGCACAAAAUCGAUGAAAUAGAAACAUUGCUGUUGCCACGUAAUCAUAAGGCCAAAACAAAUUAUGGCAGACCCAUAUCUAUUGAAGCUAUAGUAAAACAUAACAUUUAAUCGAUCAAGAGGCUUUAGAAAAAACUUCGCAAAUUACAGAAACUAGGUUUAAUUUAUUUUGUUCGGUACAACAUGCUGUUUUAUUCAUCAAGACCUGAAAAUAAAAUCAGAAAGAUGAUAGCCCUUUGAAUGAUGGAUUCUGAAGUUCUCCGCCGCAUCUUGGCACAUCUUGACGGGUAUAGCGGAAGAAGUCUCAAUAUCUCAAAUCAAGUGAGUAAGGGCCAUUUCACGUCACAUCCCAGAGGUUGAUGACUGCUCUCCAGACCACAUCAUGGAAAGAGAAACUGAAGAUUAUCGUUCGGUUACAACUAAUGUUAUGAAACCGGUACCACUGACUUGGAAUGAUUGUUGGUAGAAGUUGGUGACAGGAAAGCUAUGUUUGAAUUCAAACGUCGCUUUCCCAGGUCUGCAUCAUGUGCCUGAACAGGAAGAAGCUGAUCAAGGAACUCCAGACAGUAUUGAGAAAGAAGUUGAUAAAUACAAUGCAAAUGUGGAAAACAAAAUGGGUGACUUGGACAUAAAAUCAAUGUUAGCCGCAAUCCACAAUGCUAAUUCUACUAACUGGGGAUACACAAAACAAAGCUUAAGAUUUAUACAACUUAUUUAAAAGUUAGUAAUCAAUUUUAUAUUUAUAAGCUCCAGUGUCAUAAAUUAGAAGACUGUAUUAUUUAUUAUAAUAGAAAUUAAUCCACUAUUUUUUUUUUUUAUAAAUUUUAAAGAUAAGGAGUACAUUGUGAAGAUACCUGUUCAAUUGUUAUUAAGUAGUUGUUUUAAGUUAUAUUGUUUAUUUAAAGAUGUAUUUAUUUAUUUUAUUUUAUCAAGGAAUAUCCUAAAUC
Molecule: long non-coding RNA, 1356 nt
Organism: Metopolophium dirhodum (rose-grain aphid)
Lineage: Eukaryota; Metazoa; Arthropoda; Insecta; Hemiptera; Aphididae
Exons: 5
Source: RefSeq, a predicted model, not a curated record